Molecule: non-coding RNA, 27 nt
Filed under: Bombyx mori (domestic silkworm)
Lineage: Eukaryota; Metazoa; Arthropoda; Insecta; Lepidoptera; Bombycidae
Source: RNAcentral
UCUUUCAUACGGUUGAAAAGUUGGCGC